AUGGCAGACUUCAACCAUCCUGAUAUCUGCUGCAGGAACAACACAGCAAGGCACAAACAAUCCAGGAGGUUCCUGGAGAGCACUGAUGAUAACUUUCUGACACUGGUGGUGGAGGAGCCAACAAGGAAAGGUGCACUGCUGGGCCUUGUACUAACAAACAAAGAAGGACUGGUUGAAGAUGUGAAGGCUGGGGGCAGCCUUGGCUGCAGUGACCAUGAGAGGGUGGAGUUCAGGAUCCUGCCAGGAGGAAGCAGGACAGUAAGUAGGAUCACAACCCUGCACUUCAGGAGAGCAAACUUUGGCCUCUUCAGGGACCUACUUGGAGGAAUCCCAUGGCUUCGGGCGCUAGAAGGAAGAGGUGUCCAAGAGAGCUGGUUAAUAUUCAAGGAUCACUUCCUCCAAGCUCAAGAGCGGUGCAUCCCAGUGAGCAAGAAGUCAAGCAAAGGUGGCUUAACCAAUCUGAUAGCCUUCUAUGAUGGAAUGACUGGCUGGGUAGAUGAGGGGAGAGCAGUGGAUGUUGUCUACCUUGACCUCAGCAAGGCUUUUGACACUGUCUCCCAUAACAUCCUCAUAGGCAAGCUCAGGAAGUGCAGGCUAGACGAGUGGAGACUGAGGUGGAUUGAGAACUGGCUGAAUGGCAGAGCUCAGAGGGCUGUGAUCAGCGGCACAGAGUCCAGUUGGAGGCCUGUAGCUAGUGGUGUCCCCCAGGGGUCAAUAUUGGGUYCAGUAUUGUUCAGCUUAUUCAUCAGUGACCUGGAUGAAGGGACAGAGCGCACCCUCAGCAAGUUUGCUGACGACACAAAACUGGGAGGAGUGGCCAAUACCCCAGAAGGCUGUGCUGCCAUUCAGAGGGACCUGGACAGGCUGGAGARGUGGGCAGAGARGAACCUCAUGAAGUUCAAUAAAAGGAAGUGCAGAGCCCUGCCCCUGAGGAGGAAUAACCCCAGGCACCAGUACAGGUUGGGGACUGACCUGCUGGAAAGCAGCUCUGCCGAGAAGGACCUGGGAGUGCUGGUGGACACCAAGUUAAGCAUGAGCCAGCAAUGUGCCCUUGUGGCCAAGUGGUAUCCUGGGCUGCAUUAA
This 1083-nucleotide long non-coding RNA is filed under the name Apteryx haastii (Great spotted kiwi). RNAcentral's name for it is "lncRNA (ENSAHAG00000009149.1)". The record is from RNAcentral. Lineage: Eukaryota; Metazoa; Chordata; Aves; Apterygiformes; Apterygidae.